This 1158-nucleotide ribosomal RNA is filed under the name Heterodoxus spiniger. RNAcentral's name for it is "16S ribosomal RNA". The stretch from base 762 to 1104 matches the Rfam family "Archaeal large subunit ribosomal RNA", at positions 2152 to 2719 of the family's 2987-position model. Lineage: Eukaryota; Metazoa; Arthropoda; Insecta; Psocodea; Boopidae. The record is from RNAcentral.
AUUAAAAAAAAUUAUUUUUUAAAGAUUAAAUAUGUUGAAUUUUAACAAAUUUUUAUUACUGAGAAGGAAAUUUUUUAAAUAAAAAGAACAAAUUUUUGGUACUUUUUGCAUCACGGUUUAUAGAAUAAUAAUAUAAAUAAUAUUAUUCCCGAAUUAAUUAUGAUCUAUUUUUUUAAAAAUUUAAAUGUUUCAAAAUUUUUUAAAAUAAAAAAAUUGAAGCUAUAAGUGACACGAAUAUUAAGAUAUCUGGUUUUUUAUGAAAUUGAUUUAAUCAAUUUUUUCUUUUGUAAUUAUUAAAAUAGUUAUUAAUAUUUUUAUAAAGAAAAUAAUAGAUUUUUAAGGUUAAGCUAAAAAAUAUGAUAUUAAUUUUAACUUUUUAUUUAGUUAUUAAUUCUAAUAUUAGGAUUUUAUUAUAUAAUAAGAAAAAUCUUUAUUUUUUACAAAAAUUAUAUUAAGUAAUAAAAUAAAAAACUUAAUUUUUAAAGUCUUUAAAAAAAUUAUAAAAUGAGUAAAAUUUAUAAAAAUUUUUUAGGAACUAGGCAAAUAUAAAAUCUGAAUGUUUAUCAAAAACAUUUUCUUUUUUUAAUAUAAAAGAUAAGUUCUGUUCACUGACUAUAUGUUAAAGAACCGCAGGAAACUGUGCUAAGGUAGCAAAAUAAAUUGUAUAUUAAUUGUAUUCCAGAAUGAAUGAAUCAACAAGAUUUUUACUUUCUUAAAAAUUAUAAUUUAAUUUUGAUUUUAAGUUAAAAUUCUUAAAUUAAGAUGUAAGACGAGAAGACCCUGUAGAUCUUUAAAUUUUAAAUCUAUUAUUUAGAUGGAAAAAUUUUGGUUGGGGAAACAAUUAAAGCGAAAAAUCUUUGAUUUUCUAAACCUUAAAUUAAAGGAAUAAUAAUCUUUAAUUAUUAAGAUUAAUAUAAAGUUACCUCAGGGAUAACAGCGUUAUUAAAUUUUUGAGAUCUUAUUAAAAAUUUAGAUUGCGACCUCGAUGUUGAAUUAAGAUUACAUUUAUACGCAGAAAGAUAAAUAGUUAGUCUGUUCGACUAUUUAAAUCUUACAUGAUUUGAGUUAAGACCGACGUGAGUCAGGUCAGUUUCUAUCUACAUCGUUAUUUUCUUUUUUAGUACGAAAGGACACAAAAGAAGUUUGUUUAAAACAAAA